This 359-nucleotide ribosomal RNA is filed under the name uncultured bacterium. RNAcentral's name for it is "bacterial SSU rRNA". It matches the Rfam family "Bacterial small subunit ribosomal RNA", at positions 29 to 414 of the family's 1533-position model. The record is from RNAcentral.
AACGAACGCUGGCGGCAGGCCUAACACAUGCAAGUCGAACGCCGUAGCAAUACGGAGUGGCAGACGGGUGAGUAACACGUGGGAACGUACCCUUCGGUUCGGAAUAACUCAGGGAAACUUGAGCUAAUACCGGAUACGUCCGAGAGGAGAAAGAUUUAUCGCCGAGGGAUCGGCCCGCGUCUGAUUAGCUUGUUGGUGAGGUAACGGCUCACCAAGGCGACGAUCAGUAGCUGGUCNGAGAGGAUGAUCAGCCACAUUGGGACUGAGACACGGCCCAAACUCCUACGGGAGGCAGCAGUGGGGAAGUAUUGGACAAUGGGCGCAAGCCUGAUCCAGCCAUGCCGCGUGAGUGAUGAAGG